UGGGGAAUUUUGGACAAUGGGGGCAACCCUGAUCCAGCAAUGCCGCGUGUGUGAAGAAGGCCUUCGGGUUGUAAAGCACUUUUGUCCGGAAAGAAAACACGUGCCCUAAUACGGUGUGUGGAUGACGGUACCGGAAGAAUAAGCACCGGCUAACUACGUGCCAGCAGCCGCGGUAAUACGUAGGGUGCGAGCGUUAAUCGGAAUUACUGGGCGUAAAGCGUGCGCAGGCGGUUUGCUAAGACCGAUGUGAAAUCCCCGGGCUUAACCUGGGAACUGCAUUGGUGACUGGCAGGCUAGAGUAUGGCAGAGGGGGGUAGAAUUCCACGUGUAGCAGUGAAAUGCGUAGAGAUGUGGAGGAAUACCGAUGGCGAAGGCAGCCCCCUGGGCCAAUACUGACGCUCAUGCACGAAAGCGUGGGGAGCAAACA
Molecule: ribosomal RNA, 427 nt
Filed under: uncultured Burkholderiaceae bacterium
Lineage: Bacteria; Pseudomonadati; Pseudomonadota; Betaproteobacteria; Burkholderiales; Burkholderiaceae
Also listed under: 1 other name
Description: bacterial SSU rRNA
Rfam family: Bacterial small subunit ribosomal RNA
Source: RNAcentral